AUGCCAUGGGCGCCUGCCUUGGAGCUCCCCUGCCAUGGACCUGAUCUGGCCGUCAACUCGCCACCCCAUGCGUGCUCCGGAUCCGGCCGAUCCCGCGCCGCUCAUGCCCUGGUGGCCCUGCUGACAUCGUCGCCUAGGAAGACCACCAUGCCCGCUGCAGGAGCUUCGAGCCGGAUCUGGCCCCUCUCCGACCUCCCUCGCCGUCCUUCAUCCGUUCCCGAUAUCCUCCCGGCGCCAGGAGCUCAGGCGAGCGCCGCCACAAGACCCUGCCUCCUCUGCCCCGUAGCCCGCCAUGGAGGUCGCCGCCUCUCCCGUCUCGAUCCGUCUGCAGCCGGAUCCACGGCGGAGCAGCCGAGAUCCGCCGCCCGUUCCGCGACGCCUCGGCCCGCCAAGGCCAGCGCCGAGGCCGACAAGGCGCGCAGGAAGACCAAGGCCCUCACCAAGCAGCGGGAGGACUUGCGGGCUAGGCUUGCCUACCGCAAGCACGCCCGCGAGCUCACCUCCAUGCCGGCCAAGGCCACCGCUGCGACGCCAGUUUUUUUUUACGAAUAG
RNAcentral lists this ribosomal RNA (552 nucleotides) under Triticum aestivum (bread wheat). Its description in RNAcentral is "partial small subunit ribosomal RNA". The record is from RNAcentral. Lineage: Eukaryota; Viridiplantae; Streptophyta; Magnoliopsida; Poales; Poaceae.